GACGAACGCUGGCGGCGUGCUUAACACAUGCAAGUCGAACGGAAAGGCCCUGCGUUUGUGGGGUGCUCGAGUGGCGAACGGGUGAGUAACACGUGAGUAACCUGCCCUUGACUUUGGGAUAACUUCAGGAAACUGGGGCUCAUACCGCAUAGGAGCUCCUGCUGCAUGGUGGGGGUUGGAAAGUUUCGGCGGUUGGGGAUGGACUCGCGGCUUAUCAGCUUGUUGGUGUGGUAGUGGCUUACCAAGGGUUUGACGGGUAGGCGGCCUGAGAGGGUGACCGGGGACAAGGGGACUGAGGGAGGGACCAGACGGCUACGGGAGGCAGCAGGGGAGAGCAUGGCAGAGCAGGCGGGAGCGUGAGACGACGGCGCCGGGUGCGGGAAGAUGGCCUACGGGUUGUAAACAGAUGUCGCAGGAGACGAAGAGGGAGUGACGGUAACGGGUAAGGAAGCACCGGCUAACUACGUG
RNAcentral lists this ribosomal RNA (468 nucleotides) under uncultured bacterium. RNAcentral's name for it is "partial 16S ribosomal RNA". It matches the Rfam family "Bacterial small subunit ribosomal RNA", at positions 28 to 507 of the family's 1533-position model. The record is from RNAcentral.